This 785-nucleotide ribosomal RNA is filed under the name Streptomyces sp. Its description in RNAcentral is "bacterial SSU rRNA". It matches the Rfam family "Bacterial small subunit ribosomal RNA", at positions 49 to 851 of the family's 1533-position model. The record is from RNAcentral. Lineage: Bacteria; Bacillati; Actinomycetota; Actinomycetes; Kitasatosporales; Streptomycetaceae.
UUACCAUGCAGUCGAACGAUGAACCACUUCGGUGGGGAUUAGUGGCGAACGGGUGAGUAACACGUGGGCAAUCUGCCCUUCACUCUGGGACAAGCCCUGGAAACGGGGUCUAAUACCGGAUAACACUUCUGCUCUCAUGGGCAGGGGUUAAAAGCUCCGGCGGUGAAGGAUGAGCCCGCGGCCUAUCAGCUUGUUGGUGAGGUAAUGGCUCACCAAGGCGACGACGGGUAGCCGGCCUGAGAGGGCGACCGGCCACACUGGGACUGAGACACGGCCCAGACUCCUACGGGAGGCAGCAGUGGGGAAUAUUGCACAAUGGGCGAAAGCCUGAUGCAGCGACGCCGCGUGAGGGAUGACGGCCUUCGGGUUGUAAACCUCUUUCAGCAGGGAAGAAGCGAAAGUGACGGUACCUGCAGAAGAAGCGCCGGCUAACUACGUGCCAGCAGCCGCGGUAAUACGUAGGGCGCAAGCGUUGUCCGGAAUUAUUGGGCGUAAAGAGCUCGUAGGCGGCUUGUCACGUCGGGUGUGAAAGCCCGGGGCUUAACCCCGGGUCUGCAUUCGAUACGGGCUAGCUAGAGUGUGGUAGGGGAGAUCGGAAUUCCUGGUGUAGCGGUGAAAUGCGCAGAUAUCAGGAGGAACACCGGUGGCGAAGGCGGAUCUCUGGGCCAUUACUGACGCUGAGGAGCGAAAGCGUGGGGAGCGAACAGGAUUAGAUACCCUGGUAGUCCACGCCGUAAACGGUGGGAACUAGGUGUUGGCGACAUUCCACGUCGUCGGUGCCGCAG